AUUGAACGCUGGCGGCAUGCCUUACACAUGCAAGUCGAACGGCAGCGCGGGGCAACCUGGCGGCGAGUGGCGAACGGGUGAGUAAUAUAUCGGAACAUACCCUAGAGUGGGGGAUAACGUAGCGAAAGUUACGCUAAUACCGCAUACGCACUAAGGUGGAAAGUGGGGGAUUCGCAAGAACCUCAUGCUCAUGGAGUGGCCGAUAUCUGAUUAGCUAGUCGGUGAGGUUAAGGCUCACCAAGGCAACGAUCAGUAGCUGGUUUGAGAGAACGACCAGCCACACUGGAACUGAGACACGGUCCAGACUCCUACGGGAGGCAGCAGUGGGGAAUUUUGGGACAAUGGGGGCAACCCUGAUCCAGCAAUGCCGCGUGAGUGAAGAAGGCCAUCGGGUUGCAAAGCUCUUUUGUCAGGGAAGAAACGGUGAGAGCUAAUAUCUCUUGCUAAUGACGGUACCUGAAGAAUAAGCACCGGCUAACUACGUGCCAGCAGCCG
This 495-nucleotide ribosomal RNA is filed under the name uncultured bacterium. Its description in RNAcentral is "bacterial SSU rRNA". It matches the Rfam family "Bacterial small subunit ribosomal RNA", at positions 30 to 517 of the family's 1533-position model. The record is from RNAcentral.